GCCACCCUAGCUCAGCUGGUAGAGCAAUCGAUUCGUAAUCGAUAGGUCGGGAGUUCGACUCUCCUGGGUGGCUCCA
This 76-nucleotide transfer RNA is filed under the name Candidatus Dadabacteria bacterium. RNAcentral's name for it is "tRNA-Thr". It matches the Rfam family "tRNA". From Rfam's summary of the family: Transfer RNA (tRNA) molecules are approximately 80 nucleotides in length. Their secondary structure includes four short double-helical elements and three loops (D, anti-codon, and T loops). Further hydrogen bonds mediate the characteristic L-shaped molecular structure. tRNAs have two regions of fundamental functional importance: the anti-codon, which is responsible for specific mRNA codon recognition, and the 3' end, to which the tRNAs corresponding amino acid is attached (by aminoacyl-tRNA synthetases). tRNAs cope with the degeneracy of the genetic code in two manners: having more than one tRNA (with a specific anti-codon) for a particular amino acid; and 'wobble' base-pairing, i.e. permitting non-standard base-pairing at the 3rd anti-codon position. Lineage: Bacteria; Pseudomonadati; Thermodesulfobacteriota; Candidatus Dadabacteria. The record is from RNAcentral.